Long non-coding RNA from Protopterus annectens (West African lungfish), 262 nucleotides. RefSeq lists it as uncharacterized. The transcript has 3 exons. Lineage: Eukaryota; Metazoa; Chordata; Ceratodontiformes; Protopteridae. The record is from RefSeq and is a predicted model, not a curated record.
AUAGAUCUGAAUGUUGUUACUUCUAGUUCAUGCUCACACAGACAGCUCUCCAGAUCAUCAAAAGUGUCUUUUCCAGAUGCUGCUGAGCUGUAGAACUGAGCAGGCCUUGCCACACGGCUUCAUUCACUGCUUCACUGCUGACUUAGAAGUUAACCAUGGUGCACUCAGAAAUGGGGAAGAAACACAGACCUGAGUGCAGACAAGUCUACUUCUAUCAGUGGUGUCAUUUAAUCCCUCAACCGCAAAUAAAUAAAUAAAUAAA